AGCUCCAAUAGCGUAUAUUAAAGUUGUUGCAGUUAAAAAGCUCGUAGUUGGAUUUCUGAGAGAUAGACAAAGUCCUCGUUGAGUGUGCUGCGUCUGUUUUUCAUCCUUCUGUUAACGUUUCUUGGUAUUCAGUUACUGGUUUCGGGCUCAGAUAUUUUACCUUGAGAAAAUUAGAGUGUUCCAGGCAGGCUUGCGUCGGAAUACAUUAGCAUGGAAUAAUAGAAAAGGACUUGAGUCUCCUUUGUUGGUUUGAGGGACUCUAGUAAUGAUUAAUAGGGAUAGUUGGGGGCAUUAGUAUUUAAUUGUCAGAGGUGAAAUUCUCGGAUUUGUUAAAGACUAACUUAUGCGAAAGCAUUUGCCAAGGAUGUUUUCA
Molecule: ribosomal RNA, 373 nt
Filed under: uncultured eukaryote
Lineage: Eukaryota
Description: SSU rRNA
Rfam family: Eukaryotic small subunit ribosomal RNA
Source: RNAcentral